AGAGUUUGAUCCUGGCUCAGGAUGAACGCUGGCGGCGUGCCUAAUACAUGCAAGUCGAGCGAACGGACGAGAAGCUUGCUUCUCUGAUGUUAGCGGCGGACGGGUGAGUAACACGUGGAUAACCUACCUAUAAGACUGGGAUAACUUCGGGAAACCGGAGCUAAUACCGGAUAAUAUUUUGAACCGCAUGGUUCAAAAGUGAAAGACGGUCUUGCUGUCACUUAUAGAUGGAUCCGCGCUGCAUUAGCUAGUUGGUAAGGUAACGCGGCUUACCAAGGCAACGAUGCAUAGCCGACCUGAGAGGGUGAUCGGCCACACUGGAACUGAGACACGGUCCAGACUCCUACGGGAGGCAGCAGUAGGGAAUCUUCCGCAAUGGGCGAAAGCCUGACGGAGCAACGCCGCGUGAGUGAUGAAGGUCUUCGGAUCGUAAAACUCUGUUAUUAGGGAAGAACAUAUGUGUAAGUAACUGUGCACAUCUUGACGGUACCUAAUCAGAAAGCCACGGCUAACUACGUGCCAGCAGCCGCGGUAAUACGUAGGUGGCAAGCGUUAUCCGGAAUUAUUGGGCGUAAAGCGCGCGUAGGCGGUUUUUUAAGUCUGAUGUGAAAGCCCACGGCUCAACCGUGGAGGGUCAUUGGAAACUGGAAAACUUGAGUGCAGAAGAGGAAAGUGGAAUUCCAUGUGUAGCGGUGAAAUGCGCAGAGAUAUGGAGGAACACCAGUGGCGAAGGCGACUUUCUGGUCUGUAACUGACGCUGAUGUGCGAAAGCGUGGGGAUCAAACAGGAUUAGAUACCCUGGUAGUCCACGCCGUAAACGAUGAGUGCUAAGUGUUAGGGGGUUUCCGCCCCUUAGUGCUGCAGCUAACGCAUUAAGCACUCCGCCUGGGGAGUACGACCGCAAGGUUGAAACUCAAAGGAAUUGACGGGGACCCGCACAAGCGGUGGAGCAUGUGGUUUAAUUCGAAGCAACGCGAAGAACCUUACCAAAUCUUGACAUCCUUUGACAACUCUAGAGAUAGAGCUUUCCCCUUCGGGGGACAAAGUGACAGGUGGUGCAUGGUUGUCGUCAGCUCGUGUCGUGAGAUGUUGGGUUAAGUCCCGCAACGAGCGCAACCCUUAAGCUUAGUUGCCAUCAUUAAGUUGGGCACUCUAAGUUGACUGCCGGUGACAAACCGGAGGAAGGUGGGGAUGACGUCAAAUCAUCAUGCCCCUUAUGAUUUGGGCUACACACGUGCUACAAUGGACAAUACAAAGGGCAGCGAAACCGUGAGGUCAAGCAAAUCCCAUAAAGUUGUUCUCAGUUCGGAUUGUAGUCUGCAACUCGACUACAUGAAGCUGGAAUCGCUAGUAAUCGUAGAUCAGCAUGCUACGGUGAAUACGUUCCCGGGUCUUGUACACACCGCCCGUCACACCACGAGAGUUUGUAACACCCGAAGCCGGUGGAGUAACCUUUUAGGAGCUAGCCGUCGAAGGUGGGACAAAUGAUUGGGGUGAAGUCGUAACAAGGUAGCCGUAUCGGAAGGUGCGGCUGGAUCACCU
Molecule: ribosomal RNA, 1542 nt
Filed under: Staphylococcus aureus M1010
Lineage: Bacteria; Bacillati; Bacillota; Bacilli; Caryophanales; Staphylococcaceae
Also listed under: 1 other name
Description: 16S ribosomal RNA
Rfam family: Bacterial small subunit ribosomal RNA
Source: RNAcentral